This 255-nucleotide ribosomal RNA is filed under the name uncultured bacterium. RNAcentral describes it as "partial 16S ribosomal RNA". It matches the Rfam family "Bacterial small subunit ribosomal RNA", at positions 524 to 776 of the family's 1533-position model. The record is from RNAcentral.
UACGUAGGGCGCAAGCGUUAUCCGGAAUUAUUGGGCGUAAAGAGCUCGUAGGCGGUGUGUCACGUCGGCCGUGAAAACCUGGGGCUUAACUCUGGGCGUGCGGUCGAUACGGGCAUCACUAGAGUUCGGCAGGGGAGACUGGAAUUCCUGGUGUAGCGGUGAAAUGCGCAGAUAUCAGGAGGAACACCGGUGGCGAAGGCGGGUCUCUGGGCCGUAACUGACGCUGAGGAGCGAAAGCGUGGGGGAGCGAACAGG